Long non-coding RNA from Gopherus flavomarginatus (Mexican gopher tortoise), 996 nucleotides. RefSeq lists it as uncharacterized. Lineage: Eukaryota; Metazoa; Chordata; Testudines; Testudinidae. The record is from RefSeq and is a predicted model, not a curated record. The transcript is spliced from 12 exons.
AGCAUACCCCUGGUUCUUGGGUAUUUAAGCCCCGGUUGGGAGUAAAUUCGGCCAUUUUGCUUGGCCGCUGCUGGCUCUUCAGUUGUCUGGGGUUUAAAGCUCCUGAUUGCUUGCUAGGCAUGGGUCUUACCAGUCGUAUGCAUCUGCAGCCUCUUCACAUGAUGGGGAUUUGUGGCUCCACAAAUGGGUCUGACCAUUCCUGUGUGCCUGGCAGCUCAAUCCUCUGCCCAGCUUGAGGACUGCUGUGUGAUUGGUCAGUGUAGGCUGCAAGGUUACCCCCAUCCCUGGAUGGAAUCCAACCUCAUACAGGUGAACUCCUCCUGGGAUGAAUACCUGUCUCAGGUGAGAUGCCUUGAUGUGAGAAGGGUUCCUGGAGUAAGUCUUGGCCAACUCCAAUCCAGCUGCCCAGGUAAGGGUGCACACAGAUCAUGAGCUGAUAAUAGAUGGGGCUCAGUCCUAGCUGCCUGUUCCCACUGACAUGAUGAACUCGCUUUGGAUUCUCGUUCGGCUGAACAUUGCUGUUGAGACUCUGACUCUGAGGCUUGGUGAUGAACAGGCUGCAGGCUUUGCCUUCUCAGGGAGCUUAGUCUGGGGAUGCAAGUUUAGAAUUCAGGGCCUCAAGGAUUCAGGUCAAAUAACCUUUCUUCUCUUAGGUUAAAGAUGCUGGUGUGGAUGGCUGCACUGUACUGAGUCGUGGCAGGUAGCCAGAGGCCUGGGUUCUGAAGUGCCUGGAAUGGAGUCUUGGCAUUCCUGCCAGGGAAUGGGCAGUCAGUCAUUUGAGCUGCAGGGCUGCCUGGAAGGAUGGCUCAUCCGAGCACAGCAAGUUGGAGCAUUUGGCCAGAUGCAGCUGUGCCAUCACACCUGCUUCCAGGAAGAGCUCUUCCUGCUCAGCUGUGACAAACCCAGCAGCAGCUUAGUGUUGAUGGGGGCAGCCAGCUCCUUAAGUGUGUGGUUCUUUGUGUAUUGACUGUUUAAAUAAAACAUCUCUGCACAGAA